Long non-coding RNA from Symphalangus syndactylus (siamang), 853 nucleotides. RefSeq lists it as uncharacterized. The record is from RefSeq and is a predicted model, not a curated record. Lineage: Eukaryota; Metazoa; Chordata; Mammalia; Primates; Hylobatidae.
CAUAUCUGACCCAGUGCCGGAAUCUUCCUUGAUUUUUCAGAAUCGUGACACAGCAGCAGCCCUUUCCCAGUGUGUGGGGCACAAUUACAUUCCUAGGUGUGGAAGGAAGACCUUUGCUGCAUUAAAUUAUCCCCAGCAUCUGUUUGCUGCUUUUAACGCGAAUGACUUAAAGGGGCAUGGGUUAGAAGAAGGAGGGAGGAGAUUUGUGCCAGGGAUGAAAGAAAAUGGCUAAAAGAUGAAUGAAAGUUGCAUAUAUCUCUUUUUCUUCUGUAAAUAACUCAUGAUAAAAGGGAAUAAAAUUUAGGUUUUCCCCACUUGGAAGAGACAUGGCCAAACGGAGUGUGUGCUUUUCCUAAACCACCGUGAAGGUAGCAUGAAAACCAGGCUUGCUCUUCAGAGACCAGGAGGCUCCUGUUUUGGGCACUCCAUCUGUCCUGCUGCCGUGAAAGCUCUCGGACCCAAAUGGCUUCCUGUGAUCCACUGUGGUCUACUUGUUAUAUUCCCUUCAGCUAUGUUUAUAACUCUGUCAACAGCCACAGCGGCAGCUGGGACGAUGAAAGCAUCCCAAGACCUCCCUUUUCCAUCUGUGGCUGAUCACCUCUGGAACCCACAGCUAGCCGGCAGCUCCUCCGCUAUCAGAUGGUGGCUGUCAGUCAUGGGCUUUUCACCGAGUGCAUCCGUCACGCUCGGGCCAUGGGCCGGCACCUGUGUGUGCAUGUCCAGCUUAACGACAGAGAUUUUUGGAAAGACGCCCUAAGAUAGACAUACUUGAAACUGAGUGAGAAUAAGUUUGACUUAUUUCUUUUUGAGAUACUUUAUAUGUUUGAAAUAAUUAAUAGCUGGCACCAGUGAA